This 469-nucleotide ribosomal RNA is filed under the name uncultured bacterium. RNAcentral's name for it is "partial 16S ribosomal RNA". It matches the Rfam family "Bacterial small subunit ribosomal RNA", at positions 28 to 507 of the family's 1533-position model. The record is from RNAcentral.
GACGAACGCUGGCGGCGUGCUUAACACAUGCAAGUCGAACGGAAAGGCCCUGCUUGCAGGGUGCUCGAGUGGCGAACGGGUGAGUAACACGUGGGUGAUCUGCCCCUUACUUUGGGAUAAGCCUGGGAAACUGGGUCUAAUACUGGAUAGGACCAUGCUGGAGGUGGUGUGGUGGAAAGAUUAGUUUCGGUAAGGGAUGAGCUCGCGGCCUAUCAGCUUGUUGGUGGGGUAAUGGCCUACCAAGGCGUCGACGGGUAGCCGGCCUGAGAGGGUGGACGGCCACAUUGGGACUGCGAUACGACCCAGACUCCUACGGGAGGCAGCAGUGGGGGAUAUUGCACAAUGGGCGCAAGCCUGAUGCAGCGACGCCGCGUGGGGGGUGACGGCCUUCGGGUUGUAAACUCCUUUCAGCCAUGACGAAGCCCUUGUGGUGACGGUAGUGGUAGAAGAAGCACCGGCUAACUACGUG